UGGGGAAUAUUGGACAAUGGGCGCAAGCCUGAUCCAGCCAUGCCGCGUGAGUGAUGAAGGCCCUAGGGUUGUAAAGCUCUUUCACCGGUGAAGAUAAUGACGGUAACCGGAGAAGAAGCCCCGGCUAACUUCGUGCCAGCAGCCGCGGUAAUACGAAGGGGGCUAGCGUUGUUCGGAUUUACUGGGCGUAAAGCGCACGUAGGCGGACUUUUAAGUCAGGGGUGAAAUCCCGUGGCUCAACCCCGGAACUGCCUUUGAUACUGGAAGUCUUGAGUAUGGUAGAGGUGAGUGGAAUUCCGAGUGUAGAGGUGAAAUGCGUAGAUAUUCGGAGGAACACCAGUGGCGAAGGCGGCUCACUGGACCAUUACUGACGCUGAGGUGCGAAAGCGUGGGGAGCAAACAGG
Molecule: ribosomal RNA, 404 nt
Filed under: Actinomycetes bacterium
Lineage: Bacteria; Bacillati; Actinomycetota; Actinomycetes
Description: Actinobacteria bacterium partial 16S ribosomal RNA
Rfam family: Bacterial small subunit ribosomal RNA
Source: RNAcentral